This 880-nucleotide long non-coding RNA is filed under the name Malus domestica (apple). RNAcentral describes it as "long non-coding RNA (MDOM_LNC009159)". Lineage: Eukaryota; Viridiplantae; Streptophyta; Magnoliopsida; Rosales; Rosaceae. The record is from RNAcentral.
UUGAACAGUUUAAAUUAUAUAGACGAUGCUAGAGAGAUUAUUUACUUAAACAUAUUUUGUAAACCACACGAUGAUGGUGACUAUUGUUACAUUAAUCAUCAUCCGCCGCGUGAAGGAUGGAUCUGCACUUGAUCAAUUCCCGGAUAGCUUAAGCGUUUUCGAGUAAAGAUUGGCUAACAUUGUCUAGUACUGUUGCCACUGGCCAGCCCCCUCAUGGGUACCCUUCUUCCUUUCUUGCAACGCAAUAACGUCCUACUAGAGUUUGUCUGCUCCCUUGUUCCUUUGUGGACACUGAUCCGUCGGUAGGUAAAUAAUGCAACAAACAAUGACAUGAACGGCAAGUCAUGGUACCAAUAAUUAUGCAUGGAACCAACAGAGGCACUGCCUUGCAAUGUUGGUGACCGCAGAUAGCAGCAGGGAGCAACAAUAUUUGGGUUGUCUUUCAGAGUACUUCUGAAUGCACAGGGAUGCUAAAUGGAGAGACUCGAAAUCCCUGAAGUCCGUCCCAAAAGCUACUAUACUCAAACUACAUUUAUUAAAAAGUUCUCGGAUUUCAUCUGAAACUGAUAAGGAAAUGAAGAUUCUUAACGGACCUUACAUAUUAAAAUACCAUAAAAGGUCGUACCCAGUGCACAAGGCUCCCGCUUUACGCAGGGUCUGGGAGAGGUGAAUGUCGGCUAGCCUUACCCCUAUUUAUGGAGAGGCUGCUACAUAUUAAAAUACCAUAUAAGUACAUAUUUACAAGCUCAUCUAUAAGUAUGGUGCUGAACAUAUCAACAGAAUCUAUCAGACCAGGAAAGAGAAAUUAGAAAUUUAUAUACGCACACAUUCAAUGCUUGUAAGUUCUUUUCUGUAUAUACUAAUGGAGGAUCAUUGUGCG